UACGUAGGUGGCAAGCGUUGUCCGGAAUUACUGGGCGUAAAGCGCACGUAGGCGGCUUUCUAAGUCGGGGGUGAAAUCCUGGAGCUCAACUCCAGAACUGCCUUCGAUACUGGAGAGCUUGAGUCCGGGAGAGGUGAGUGGAACUGCGAGUGUAGAGGUGAAAUUCGUAGAUAUUCGCAAGAACACCAGUGGCGAAGGCGGCUCACUGGCCCGGUACUGACGCUGAGGUGCGAAAGCGUGGGGAGCAAACAGG
RNAcentral lists this ribosomal RNA (253 nucleotides) under uncultured bacterium. Its description in RNAcentral is "partial 16S ribosomal RNA". It matches the Rfam family "Bacterial small subunit ribosomal RNA", at positions 524 to 776 of the family's 1533-position model. The record is from RNAcentral.